Homarus americanus (American lobster) is the source of this 421-nucleotide long non-coding RNA. RefSeq lists it as uncharacterized. The record is from RefSeq and is a predicted model, not a curated record. The transcript is spliced from 3 exons. Lineage: Eukaryota; Metazoa; Arthropoda; Malacostraca; Decapoda; Nephropidae.
AUAUCCAUCCCCCAUCCCCCCUCCACCCCGGCCUUCGUUUAUCCCGCUAGCCUGCAGGUAUUACACGUACACGAACGUGGAGCAGUGUUUAACUGUUUAUAAAUCAAAGUGAAGAUCACAUCGCGACCUGUCAUCCUCUGCCAACCAGCCUGUCGGAAGCCACAACCUCGACUAGCAGCAGAAAUCUAAGCCAAUCACGAGGGUUCCCUAUAUUACGUCAUAACCGUUAGUUUCCAUCCUGCUCAUGACAUCCUGGCAUCAUCACUGUUGUCAUUGAUAGGAGAUUGACAAAGAGCGUCUCUUCCUCAUUAGGUUCUUUGUCACUUAAAUGGUAAAGAACCUAUUAAGGGAGGACUUAAUAUUGGUAAGUACGAUAUUAGUAUUUAUAGUUAAGGCAGUAAGCAUGUACAGUAGGGUCGGU